GACGAACGCUGGCGGCGUGCUUAACACAUGCAAGUCGAACGGUGAAGGGACCGGUUUUUGCUGGUUCUGGAUGAGUGGCGAGCGGGUGUGUAACACGUGAGUAACCUGCCCCCUUCUUCUGGAUAACCGCAUGAAAGUGUGGCUAAUACGGGAUAUUCUGCGCCUGCUGCAUGGUGGGUGUGGGAAAGAUAUUGUUUCGGUGGGGGAUGGGCUCGCGGCCUAUCAGCUUGUUGGUGGGGUGAUGGCCUACCAAGGCGGUGACGGGUAGCCGGCCUGAGAGGGUGGACGGUCACACUGGGACUGAGACACGGCCCAGACUCCUACGGGAGGCAGCAGUGGGGAAUAUUGCACAAUGGGCGCAAGCCUGAUGCAGCGACGCCGCGUGAGGGAUGGAGGCCUUCGGGUUGUAAACCUCUUUCGCCAGUGAAGCAGGCCUGUCCCUUUUGUGGGUGGGUUGACGGUAGCUGGAGAAGAAGCGCCGGCUAACUACGUG
RNAcentral lists this ribosomal RNA (493 nucleotides) under uncultured bacterium. Its description in RNAcentral is "partial 16S ribosomal RNA". It matches the Rfam family "Bacterial small subunit ribosomal RNA", at positions 28 to 507 of the family's 1533-position model. The record is from RNAcentral.